RNAcentral lists this long non-coding RNA (1000 nucleotides) under Homarus americanus (American lobster). RNAcentral describes it as "uncharacterized LOC121857354, transcript variant X3". The record is from RNAcentral. Lineage: Eukaryota; Metazoa; Arthropoda; Malacostraca; Decapoda; Nephropidae.
AUAAAGCCAAGUGUCAGUGAGUACGUCGCCAUUUGCCCUGGUGGCAUGCCAGUCAACGACCAGGCCGAGGCAGGACCACCAGACGACAUCCCCACCACUACCUCAGCCGUCGACCACUACCUACCAAAGUCCUCCACCACAAAUUCUCCUGGGUCAGAAUCACUUUUCAGUCCAUUUUCCACUGCAUCGGACAGUUGUUACAGAAAAGUGAACAAGUUGUUUGAGGAUGAAGUACAUGUUGACGCUGCUGGUGGUGACCGUCACUGUUAUGGGAGCAACAGACAACAAAACUCGGCGAUGUGGUCUUGGUGCAGUCACCAGACUACCCCGCCCGCCUGACCAACAAGCGCAGUUGUCAACAGAAUAUCGUCUGCCAGUCACCGAGUGCCAACCUUGGAGUCAACUGCGAAGUAUUUAAACUGGAAGACUGUGACAAUGAACGACUCAUCAUAUCCGACGGCACCACUUCCUCCACACUCUGCGGGAAUAUUACAUCUACCUGGGUCUUCCCCACCAACGAGAUGAAACUCGAAUUCAUAACCAAUGGCGACCAUAACUCCCCUGGGUACAAAUGUUCCAUCACGUGCCUAGGAGAACAAACCAAAGACCAACUACAACAAGUAAUGUGAGAAGCAGCUGCCUCUCUCUUACCUGCACCACGACUACCAGGACCACUAUGAGGAGUUCCUUGGGAUUUGUUCAUCUGAAGGAGUGACAUGCAAGUGUUCCAGGCUUCACUAACCCCCGGACCCGGAAACCUGACCAAACCUUCCUAUGUCAGCCUGGCCUAAUGUAACCUGUCCCUUAAUGACCUAACCCACCUAUCCCCAGCAAACCCUAAAUUUAUCACCUCGAACAUGACUCAAUGUAACCUAACCAAUACAGCACUUUAUAGAGACAUGUCAUCACUACUUGUGUAAGACUUUAUCAAGACAUUAUAUAUUAUCUAUUAAUCAUUUAGAGAAUAUUGGCAGAAUAUAAUAAAAUAUUGCACACCAAA